This 696-nucleotide long non-coding RNA is filed under the name Trifolium pratense (red clover). Its description in RNAcentral is "long non-coding RNA (TPRA_LNC009574)". Lineage: Eukaryota; Viridiplantae; Streptophyta; Magnoliopsida; Fabales; Fabaceae. The record is from RNAcentral.
CUGAGAAUAAAAUUAAAACCCCUCGUCACUUACUAGUGAGCCGGAAAGCUUAGGGACGCCUCUCGUUCCUCUUCUCCCAUUUGACAACCGUAUCUCAGAAUGUUCGGAUGAUUCUCUGGAACUAAUAUAUGCUUUAUUUUUUUUAAAGAAUGGGGAUAUAUCGUUGGGAAAAAGCAGAAGAAAAGGAUUUAACGGGCAGAAGAAGGGAAGUUCGGAAAAGCCUAGCCUAGCAGACGGGACUAUCAACUCCUUUCUAUUACGAUCUCGGCACCUUCCUUACCCCCCUACGCAAAAUUUACCCCUAUUUUGAAGAGGAAAGCUCCCAGGUUCCGCAUCUUAAAAAAGUGCAUGACCAGAUUGAUUGGAAGAAUUCGCAACAGGCCAACAAUUGUAUCGAGCUACAGGCCCUUCUCAUAAGAUGUUGUAAGCUACGGGCCAUAAAAUGUCCGACGAAGCUUAAAGCAGACAUAAAGAGCUAACUAAGAAGGGGGCCAACAAGCCCCUUUAAAGCAAAUGCCUGUGAGAAGCCUUAGAAGUUACAGGACAUAGAAGCAGGCCUAAGCAGCACCUAAGAAGCUGGUCAAGAAGUGGAUUGAAUCUUUUCCAGUCUAGAGACUGGCGGAUUACCCUCGAAAGAAAGGAUUCAAAUCUUCCUUCUGCUUUGAACAAGAUAAGUGGACAGAUGAGUUGAAUAAU